Notothenia coriiceps (black rockcod) is the source of this 255-nucleotide long non-coding RNA. RefSeq lists it as uncharacterized. Lineage: Eukaryota; Metazoa; Chordata; Actinopteri; Perciformes; Nototheniidae. The transcript has 3 exons. The record is from RefSeq and is a predicted model, not a curated record.
GGUCUGUAGGCUGCUUCUCUUUGACACGCGCUGCAGACACUUGAGAGUGCAGCCCCAAACCCCUCGAACGUCCUGUGAACAGACACUGAAGCCAUGGAGACAUUUGUAAUGCAGAGUCAAGCCAGGCAGCUGCUACACAACAAGUUUGUGUUGGUUCUUGGAGGCUCAGUGCAGCGCUCAAUGUACAAAGACCUGGUUCUGCUGCUUCAGAGGGAUAAGUUCUUAACUCUGCCUCAGCUCAAGUCCAAAGUAAAU